RNAcentral lists this ribosomal RNA (965 nucleotides) under Neolentinus lepideus. RNAcentral describes it as "partial large subunit ribosomal RNA". It matches the Rfam family "Eukaryotic large subunit ribosomal RNA", at positions 24 to 996 of the family's 3401-position model. The record is from RNAcentral. Lineage: Eukaryota; Fungi; Basidiomycota; Agaricomycetes; Gloeophyllales; Gloeophyllaceae.
UUUUUCCCCCGCAGCUAAGCAUAUCAAUAAGCGGAGGAAAAGAAACUAACAAGGAUUCCCCUAGUAACUGCGAGUGAAGCGGGAAGAGCUCAAAUUUAAAAUCUGGCGGUCCUUUGGCCGUCCGAGUUGUAUUCUGGAGAAGUGCUUUCCGCGCUGGACCGUGUAUAAGUCUCUUGGAACAGAGCGUCAUAGAGGGUGAGAAUCCCGUCUUUGACACGGACUACCAGUGCUUUGUGAUGCGCUCUCAAAGAGUCGAGUUGUUUGGGAAUGCAGCUCAAAAUGGGUGGUAAAUUCCAUCUAAAGCUAAAUAUUGGCGAGAGACCGAUAGCGAACAAGUACCGUGAGGGAAAGAUGAAAAGCACUUUGGAAAGAGAGUUAAACAGUACGUGAAAUUGUUGAAAGGGAAACGCUUGAAGUCAGUCGCGUUAGCCGGAACUCAGCCUUGCCUUCCGCUCGGUGUAUUUUCCGGUUGACGGGCCAGCAUCGAUUUCGACCGCUGGAUAAGGGCUAGGGGAAUGUGGCACCCUCGGGUGUGUUAUAGCCUCCGGUCGUAUACAGUGGUUGGGAUCGAGGACCGCAGCUUUCGGGCUUAGGAUGCUGGCGUAAUGGCUUUAAACGACCCGUCUUGAAACACGGACCAAGGAGUCUAACAUGCCUGCGAGUGUUUGGGUGGAAAACCCGAGCGCGUAAUGAAAGUGAUAGUUGAGACCUUUGUCAUGGAGGGCAUCGACGCCCGGACCUGAUCUUCGGUGACGGAUCUGCGGUAGAGCAUGUAUGUUGGGACCCGAAAGAUGGUGAACUAUGCCUGAAUAGGGUGAAGCCAGAGGAAACUCUGGUGGAGGCUCGUAGCGAUUCUGACGUGCAAAUCGAUCGUCAAAUUUGGGUAUAGGGGCGAAAGACUAAUCGAACCAUCUAGUAGCUGGUUCCUGCCGAGUCUCCCUCCCCGGGGUUUAUACGAAAUAACC